RNAcentral lists this ribosomal RNA (1380 nucleotides) under uncultured bacterium. RNAcentral describes it as "bacterial SSU rRNA". It matches the Rfam family "Bacterial small subunit ribosomal RNA", at positions 40 to 1397 of the family's 1533-position model. The record is from RNAcentral.
CGGCGCGCCUCACACACGCAAGUUCGAAACGGUAAGACCCUUUUCGGGGGGUCCACGAGCGGCGAAACGGGAGAGUCAACACGCGAGUAAACCCGCUCUUCAUUCUCCGGGAAAAACAGUUCGGAAAACGGUUCGCUCAAUAACCGGAUACGAGCCUCGCAAGGCAUCUCGCGGGCCGGAAAGAUAUUUUUUCGGUUCGGGGAACGGACUCGCGGCCUAUUCAGCCUCGUUGGUGAGGUAGUGGCUCACCAAGGCUUUCGACGGGUAGCCGGCCUGAGAGGGCGACCGGCCACAUUGGGAACUGAGAUACGGCCCAAACUCCUACGGGAGGCAGCAGUGGGGAAAUAUUGCACAAUGGACGGAAGUCUGAUGCAGCGACCCCCCCGUGCGGGAUGACGGCCUUUCGGGUUUGUAAACCGCUUUUCAUUUGUGACGAAGCUUUUUUGUUGACGGUAGCAGUAGAAGAAACACCGGCUAACUACGUUCCAGCAGCCGCGGUGAUACGUAGGGUGCGAGCGUUGUCCGGAUUUAUGGGCGUAAAGAGCUUGUAGGCGGUUUGUCGCGUCGGGAGUGAAAACUUGGGGCUUAACCCUGAGCUUGCUUUCGAUACGGGCUGACUUGAGGGAGGUAGGGGAGAAUGGAAUUUCCUGGUGGAGCGGUGGAAUGCGCAGAUAUCAGGAGGAACACCGGUGGCGAAGGCGGUUCUCUGGACCUUUCCUGACGCUGAGAAGCGAAAGCGUGGGGAGCGAACAGGCUUAGAUACCCUGGUAGUCCACGCCGUAAACGGUGGGUACUAGGUGUGGGGGACAUUCCACGUUCUCCGUGCCGUAGCUAACGCAUUAAGUACCCCGCCUGGGGAGUACGGCCGCAAGGCUAAAACUCAAAGGAAUUGACGGGGCCCCGCACAAGCGGCGGAGCAUGCGGAUUAAUUCGAUGCAACGCGAAGAACCUUACCUGGGUUUGACAUAUGCCGGAAGCGUUCAGAGAUGGGCGUGCCUUUUUGGUCGGUUUACAGGUGGUGCAUGGCUGUCGUCAGCUCGUGUCGUGAGAUGUUGGGUUAAGUCCCGCAACGAGCGCAACCCUCGUCCAAUGUUGCCAGCGGGUUAUGCCGGGGACUCAUUGGAGACCGCCGGGGUCAACUCGGAGGAAGGUGGGGAUGACGUCAAGUCAUCAUGCCCCUUAUGUCCAGGGCUUCACGCAUGCUACAAUGGCCGGUACAAAGAGCUGCGAGCCUGUGAGGGUGAGCGAAUCUCGGAAAGCCGGUCUCAGUUCGGAUUGGGGUCUGCAACUCGACCCCAUGAAAGUCGGAGUCGCUAGUAAUCGCAGAUCAGCAACGCUGCGGUGAAUACGUUUCCCGGGGCUUUGUUACACACCGCCCGU